CUCACAGCAUGUGGAUGUUCCUGGGCCAGCAAUCAAACUCAUGCCAUAGCAGUGAUCCAAGCCACUGCUGUGACAACGCCAGAUCCUUAACCUGCUGGGCCACAAGAGAACACGGGUACUGGCUUUUGUAAAGAAACUAAAGAGGUGACUGGAGCAGUUAAUAAACCCCAGAGGAACAGAUCCAUUCCGCCAACAAAGUCUUUUGUGUUCUGUGUACCGAACACUUAAAACAUGUAUUUUAAUGUCAAAAGGUUUGUAGCCUAACGCAGUUCUCAUCUACACGAUUACAUCGAAGACCUGAUGCAACUUGAGGUCCAACAGAUGGAGGGGGCCCUUCAGUUCAAGCGGAUGAAACGGAAUUUUACUACCUAAACUGCGUGGAGCUCUGCCAAGCUGUCCUGGAAGAGUCACCAGAGUGUUCUUAACAGAAGACAUUCCUGCUUUAAGCUCUGGAUUCCUACAGCUGGCCAGUGAGGGUAUCAGGCUUUCAUUUUGCAGUUAAAAGCACAGAAUUGUGUAAAAGUGAAAAGCACUUCAGGCAAUGACUAUAGUCUUGUUUCAAUUAUUUUUAUAUUGAGAGAAAAAGUAGAGUGAAAAAGCACAAGUAGACAGCAAAUGAAGUAGAGGGAAAGCCGUACAGAGCAUAAGACAUUCACAUACUCAGAAACCAAGAAGAAAGCAAAGCAGGAGCUACUAUUGACUGGUUCAUUUCAGACAGACUAAAUGUCAGGCGGAAAAGUGUUCAGCUCAAAAUAAAAACCCAGAAUUCUAUCCUGGAGUAGUUUUUGUUUUUUAAAUCCUUAUGGAUACUUGGUGAAAGAAAAACAAACAAACAAACCACAUACUUGCUGAGAAAUACAAAAAGGUAUAAUAAGGAGUAUAAUAAACUGUUAAAGCUUUCCUUCAACUGUUUCUAUUUCAUUUCAGGAAAAAAAAAAUCUUAGCAGACAGAUAAAUCCCUUACAUUUAUACAAAAGGGCUCAAAAGCUCACCGUGCACACUGUAUUUCACCUUGCUUUUUGCACUCAACAGGAAGCUUCUGGAGAGAUCUCCUGAUCGGUGCUUAUAGGUCUCUUUUAUUUUUUGGAAUGGGUUAUGCAGAAUUUUGUUGGUGACUCUUUCCAGCACUCUAUCUCACAUGCUGAACAACAAAGGGGUUGCUUUUGAUAAAGCAUGACUCAAGCUUCCAAACAAACUAUGCAGAUCACUCUGUUUUUUAAAGUAAAACUUUAAGGGACCUUGAAUUUAAAUGGUGAUUGAGCAAGAGAACAUGAAAAUAAACGAAAACCUUCAAAGGACUGGAUAGUGGAAAUAACUCUUUUUUUCCCCUGAGUGGGCCUGAGAGGCUGGGGGCAUCUACGCCUUCCUGGUGUGGCUCCACCCCUCGAGUAAGAACACUAGGAUGACCUAAAGACAAAACGAGUUUCGGCACGCAGCACCAUCGGCACUCGCAGGCACACUGGGAGAGCCCGGAGCAGGGGAGGUGGAAGGAGGGCCCGGUGGGUGCUGGCCCUCCCCUGUGGCCUGCUGCAGCACCUUGCUGGUGUGUGAUAUCGGAAAAGUGACAGGAUUUACUUUCAGUUUGAGACCCAUGACUCAUUCCUUCUACAUGCUCUCGAUUCUGGCCCUAUUUAUAGUAUGAAAAAAGAAGGAGGCGUUUCUGCUGUGGCCCAAUGGGAUUAGUGGCAUCUUGGGAGCACUGGGACACAGGUUCAAUCCCCCACCUGGCACGGUGGGUUACGGAUCAGGCAUCACUGCAGCUGUGGCACAAACCCCAACCACGGCUCCGAUCUGAUCCCUGGCCCAGGGAAUUCCAUGCGCCAUGGGGCGGCCAAAAGAGGAAAGAAAAAAAAAAAGAAGCAGACACGAGGCAGGGAACAUAGAAGCCCACAUCCUUUCAGUUCUACUGUCAAAUGAUGAAUAAUUACUCACUUUCAUUAAGCUGUUUUCUUUCCAAGAAUAAUAUAAGCUUUGUGUCAUCUCAAAAUGGUUUUUCCUGCUUUUCAACAGUUUAGAAAAUAUUAUUUCAAAGUACUUUUUCUUUUCUCCCGGGCUCCAGGUUGUAAUUCCACGAUAGCACACUUUAGUAAAAUAAUUUAGACUUAGAGUUCAAGAAAACGCUAUGUGAGGGGCAGGUACCCCACGGUGGCACAGCUGGACAGUGGCAGAGCUGGACGGUGGCAGAGUUUACUCCCCUCUCUCCCUGUUUGGCCGGGAGACGGGUCAGUCCUCCCCUCAGAAGCUGGGCGGGCUUUUGGUGAGAGACCGGUAACACUACAGGCCUGAGAUGCAUCUACGGCUGGAGCAGAAGGAAGCUUUCCUCUCCCCGGAGCAGCCGUGGGAGGAGGUGCUGCCCUCCCCUCUCUCAGAAAUCACCCACCAGCGUACACCCGCCGGUCACGGAACAGGCCCCCCACUAAGGCAGGGCUGGCGUUUCGGUCCCAGCUCCACAGGGGAGGAAGAGCGCUCCGGGGUGGGGGUGGGGGAGCCUGGUCACGGGCAGAGGUAAGACGGGGCCCCUGCGCCUCUGGCAAUGCCCAAUACUGUGCUCAUCUGCCAAGGUCACACCUUCCAGCGACACAGGUGUGCAUGUAAGACCUUCACACACGCGAGGAAGCUGGGACCUGGGGCUGCAGGAGCCUUGAGUCAGGUCGGCAGACUCAGACCUGGAGGUGGAGGGCUGGUCCCAGCCGGCAGCACGGAGCCAGCGCCAGGGCGGAAGCCAGUUCUCCGCACUGUCCCGGCCGCGUCUCUCCUGCCGCUGCUUUCUCCUCUGGCUCAUGCUGCCAGCGCGAGAAGCCUGUUUCCAAAGGGGCUGCUGCGCCGUGGUGACAGUGCUGGCUGUGUCUAAGCUCUGAGAGAAAUGAACCCCCUUCUCUGACCCUGUGCGCCGCCAGUGAGCCUGGGCGACCGGUGUGAGCACCUCCCCUCUGGCUGACGGGGGUCCUGCUAGGGUGGCGGACAGUGAAGACUCACCUCUUCUACCCUGAGCAGAGCACAGACACCAAGCGAUUCUGCCUGACAGCAGGAUUUUACGGUAGUGACACCAUCCUGUGACCCACUUUACUCCCGCUCCUUACGUCUCGGUUAUAAGCAGUAAUUAGUAAUGGCAGUGUUCUGGCUGGAUGGCUCCGGGGCCAUUAAUAAUGCAAAAGCCGGAAGAGGAUGAAUGCCGGAGUGUACGACGGAGGUUUCAAGGUUAAAAGCAGCAAUGGAGAGAGCUGGGGGCGCAGGUGAUGUUGGCAGAAGAGGAGAGAGAGAGAGAGAGAGGGAGGGAGGGAGGGAGGGAGAAGGAGGAUGGGGUGGAAAGAGGUGCCGGGGAGUUAGUCUUAAAUCUCUGUUUGAAAAUGUCCAGCUGCCCUUCGGGAGCAGCAGGUACGGCGAAGCACAACUUCUCAGGGGCCGUAAUCGAGCGGAGGGCGGCUGCUGCUCUCCCUUGCGGUGCACACAAGCCUCUGGCCAUUGGCGGAAGGGUGGCACUGCUGAGCCUCCAGCGUGGAAGAGCUACCAGUGUAUCCAACUGAGGCCAGAGGAAACCAUCCGUAUCUUUCAAACGUAUUCUUGGUGUUUUCUUUAUUUUUAAAAUUGUGUCUUUUUAGGACCACACCCGAGGCAUAUGGAGGUUCCCAGGCUAGAGGCUGAAUCGGAGCUGUAGCCACUGGCCUACGCCCCAGCUCACGGCAACACCUGAUCCUUAACCCACUGAGCGCGGUCAGGAAUCUGCAUCCUCAUAGAUGCCAGUCAGAUUCAUUUCUGCUAAGCCACAAUGGGAAGUCCCUAUUUUUGGUGUUUUAAAUGACUUCUCUUAUAAAAGGCAAUGCCUGCUUGUUCAGCAGAACUAAUACCUUCCCACUUUAGCUUUUACAGGGAACUCAAGACAAGUGAUGCAGAAAGGUCCGGGUCUGGCAGCCGGGCAUUCCUUCAGCACAAGACACAGACUACACUGUCACAACUGCCUCCCCAUCUCUGCAAAUCUCCAUCCCACUGUGUUUCCAAGGGGGAUUUCAAAAGGUACACGUCGGCACGCAUCUCCUCCUCCUCCCCUCAUUGAGACCCAAACACAAGCCUACAUCUUGUAAAUACCCACUCUUCUACACCUCGCUUUGUUUGAUGGGCACAACUGGACUCGUGUCAUUCUUCAUGCUGUGGUGUACUGGCUCAGGAGGCCAAUCUGGUCUGCCGCUUCUUUCUAUCAGCAAGAUUCCUGGAAGCGAUUUUUAUCCCCUUAGGAAUGUGCACAGUUCAGUUCCAGCAUUUGCUAUGAAAUCAGACGUGCAGUUAGAGCUAAGGCCCUUCCUACACUCGUCUCUUUGAAUGUCAAUCCCCGAGAGGUCAAUCCUUUUGGAUAGAGAUUAAAAAAAAAAUCAAUGAGAAGCCCAAGAAGAGGGACACAGCAGUGCUGCAGACCAGGCCACCGAGACACAGAGAGCAAACCCACGAGCGGCCUUGGACUCCGCUCUCCCCAGGGCAGACAGCGUCCUUCUCUGAACUUGGACAUGUGGGCUGAAGUGACAGUGGUCAUGUCUUACAGAACAUACCGGUGAACUCCCGGCUCUGGCGGUAGCAGCCCUGACAAACCUGGGAGAGGUUCCUCCUUCCUAGGAGUUUCCUAGGAGUUCCUCUCCUUACCUGAGCCCGCACUGCCCUGCACACACUGUCGGCAUCAGGCUCCGCGUCUCUCGUUGGGGCAGCUGCUGUUUACCGACUGAGGAAGUGCCGGGUGGUGGAGUGGGCACUUCAGCUA
Sus scrofa (pig) is the source of this 4744-nucleotide non-coding RNA. The record is from RefSeq and is a predicted model, not a curated record. Lineage: Eukaryota; Metazoa; Chordata; Mammalia; Artiodactyla; Suidae.